CCUACGGGUGGCAGCAGUGGGGAAUAUUGGACAAUGGGGGGAACUCUGAUCCAGCGACGCCGCGUGAGUGAAGAAGGAUUUCGGUAUGUAAAGCUCUAUCAGCAGGGAAGAAAAUGACGGUACCUGACUAAGAAGACCCGGCUAACUACGUGCCAGCAGCCGCGGUAAUACGUAGGGGGCAAGCGUUCUCCGGAUUUACUGGGUGUAAAGGGAGCGUCGACGGUGCAGCACGUCUGAUGUGAAAGGUCGGGGCCCAACCCCGGGACUGCCUUGGAAACUGUUGAACUGGAGUACAGGAGCGGUAAGCGGAAUUCCUAGUGUAGCGGUGAACUGCGUAGCUAUUAGGCGGAACACCAGUGGCGAAGGCGGCUUACUGGACUGUACCUGCCGUUGAGGCUCGAACGCGUGGGGAGCAAACAGGAUUAGAUACCCUUGUAGUC
Molecule: ribosomal RNA, 440 nt
Filed under: uncultured bacterium
Lineage: Bacteria
Description: partial 16S ribosomal RNA
Rfam family: Bacterial small subunit ribosomal RNA
Source: RNAcentral